Molecule: ribosomal RNA, 253 nt
Filed under: uncultured bacterium
Lineage: Bacteria
Description: partial 16S ribosomal RNA
Rfam family: Bacterial small subunit ribosomal RNA
Source: RNAcentral
UACGUAGGGUGCAAGCGUUAAUCGGAAUUACUGGGCGUAAAGCGUGCGCAGGCGGCGCCGCAAGUCAGGCGUGAAAUCCCCGAGCUCAACUUGGGAAUUGCAUUCGAGACUGCAUAGCUAGGAUGCGGAAGAGGGAAGUGGAAUUUCCGGUGUAGCGGUGAGAUGCGUAGAUAUCGGAAGGAACAUCAGUGGCGAAAGCGACUUCCUGGUCCAGCAUCGACGUUCAGGCACGAAAGCUGGGGGAGCGAACAGG